RNAcentral lists this ribosomal RNA (433 nucleotides) under uncultured bacterium. RNAcentral describes it as "partial 16S ribosomal RNA". It matches the Rfam family "Bacterial small subunit ribosomal RNA", at positions 29 to 507 of the family's 1533-position model. The record is from RNAcentral.
AGCGAACGCUGGCGGCAGGCCUAACACAUGCAAGUCGAACGAACUCUUCGGAGUUAGUGGCGGACGGGUGAGUAACACGUGGGAACGUGCCUUUAGGUUCGGAAUAACUCAGGGAAACUUGUGCUAAUACCGAAUGUGCCCUUCGGGGGAAAGAUUUAUCGCCUUUAGAGCGGCCCGCGUCUGAUUAGCUAGUUGGUGAGGUAAAGGCUCACCAAGGCGACGAUCAGUAGCUGGUCUGAGAGGAUGAUCAGCCACAUUGGGACUGAGACACGGCCCAAACUCCUACGGGACGCAGCAGUGGGGAAUCUUGCGCAAUGGGCGAAAGCCUGACGCAGCCAUGCCGCGUGAAUGAUGAAGGUCUUAGGAUUGUAAAAUUCUUUCACCGGGGACGAUAAUGACGGUACCCGGAGAAGAAGCCCCGGCUAACUUCGUG